RNAcentral lists this non-coding RNA (96 nucleotides) under Malacoplasma penetrans. RNAcentral's name for it is "Mycoplasma penetrans TPP sequence". It matches the Rfam family "TPP riboswitch aptamer (THI element)". Rfam says of the family: Vitamin B(1) in its active form thiamin pyrophosphate (TPP) is an essential coenzyme that is synthesised by coupling of pyrimidine and thiazole moieties in bacteria. The previously detected thiamin-regulatory element, thi box was extended, resulting in a new, highly conserved RNA secondary structure, the THI element, which is widely distributed in eubacteria and also occurs in some archaea. Lineage: Bacteria; Bacillati; Mycoplasmatota; Mycoplasmoidales; Mycoplasmoidaceae. The record is from RNAcentral. RNAcentral also lists the same sequence under 1 other name.
UAUGUUAUCAGGCGGUGCCAUUAAAAUAUGGCUGAGAAAAUACGCUUAUGACCUGAUCUAGUUAGUACUAGCGGAGGCAAGUGAUAAUAUAUAAAU